GUUCAGGGGCGGGAAUCGAACCCACAACCUUCUGCUUACCGGGCAGGUGCCAUGUCCACUAGGCUACCCUGGA
RNAcentral lists this transfer RNA (73 nucleotides) under Cordylochernes scorpioides. Its description in RNAcentral is "tRNA-Thr". Lineage: Eukaryota; Metazoa; Arthropoda; Arachnida; Pseudoscorpiones; Chernetidae. The record is from RNAcentral.